RNAcentral lists this ribosomal RNA (460 nucleotides) under uncultured bacterium. Its description in RNAcentral is "partial 16S ribosomal RNA". It matches the Rfam family "Bacterial small subunit ribosomal RNA", at positions 338 to 795 of the family's 1533-position model. The record is from RNAcentral.
CCUACGGGAGGCAGCAGUGAGGAAUAUUGGUCAAUGGACGAGAGUCUGAACCAGCCAAGUAGCGUGAAGGAUGACUGCCCUAUGGGUUGUAAACUUCUUUUAUAUGGGAAUAAAAUGUUCCACGUGUGGGAUUUUGUAUGUACCAUAUGAAUAAGGAUCGGCUAACUCCGUGCCAGCAGCCGCGGUAAUACGGAGGAUCCGAGCGUUAUCCGGAUUUAUUGGGUUUAAAGGGAGCGUAGGUGGAUUGUUAAGUCAGUUGUGAAAGUUUGCGGCUCAACCGUAAAAUUGCAGUUGAAACUGGCAGUCUGGAGUAUAGUAGAGGUGGGCGGAAUUCGUGGUGUAGCGGUGAAAUGCUUAGAUAUCACGAAGAACUCCGAUUGCGAAGGCAGCUCACUGGACUGCAACUGACACUGAGGCUCGAAAGUGUGGGUAUCAAACAGGAUUAGAGACCCGUGUAGUC